Molecule: small nuclear RNA, 106 nt
Organism: Sciurus vulgaris (Eurasian red squirrel)
Lineage: Eukaryota; Metazoa; Chordata; Mammalia; Rodentia; Sciuridae
Source: Ensembl
GUACUGGCUUUGGCAGCACAUAUACUAAAAUUGCAAGGAUACAAAGAACACUAGCCUGACCCUGUGCAAGGACAACAUGCAAAUUUGUUAAGAGUUACCUUUUUUU